This 643-nucleotide ribosomal RNA is filed under the name uncultured bacterium. RNAcentral describes it as "bacterial SSU rRNA". It matches the Rfam family "Bacterial small subunit ribosomal RNA", at positions 232 to 885 of the family's 1533-position model. The record is from RNAcentral.
CGCGGCCUAUCAGCUUGUUGGUGAGGUAACGGCUCACCAAGGCGUCGACGGGUAGCCGGCCUGAGAGGGUGACCGGCCACACUGGGACUGAGACACGGCCCAGACUCCUACGGGAGGCAGCAGUGGGGAAUAUUGCACAAUGGGCGCAAGCCUGAUGCAGCAACGCCGCGUGAGGGACGACGGCCUUCGGGUUGUAAACCUCUUUUAGCAGGGAAGAAGCGAAAGUGACGGUACCUGCAGAAAAAGCGCCGGCUAACUACGUGCCAGCAGCCGCGGUAAUACGUAGGGCGCAAGCGUUAUCCGGAAUUAUUGGGCGUAAAGAGCUCGUAGGCGGUUUGUCGCGUCUGCUGUGAAAACCCGAGGCUCAACCUCGGGCCUGCAGUGGGUACGGGCAGACUAGAGUGCGGUAGGGGAGAUUGGAAUUCCUGGUGUAGCGGUGGAAUGCGCAGAUAUCAGGAGGAACGCCGAUGGCGAAGGCAGAUCUCUGGGCCGUAACUGACGCUGAGGAGCGAAAGGGUGGGGAGCAAACAGGCUUAGAUACCCUGGUAGUCCACCCCGUAAACGUUGGGAACUAGUUGUGGGGACCAUUCCACGGUUUCCGUGACGCAGCUAACGCAUUAAGUUCCCCGCCUGGGGAGUACGG